GUGGGGAAUAUUGGACAAUGGGCGAAAGCCUGAUCCAGCCAUGCCGCGUGUGUGAAGAAGGUCUUCGGAUUGUAAAGCACUUUAAGUUGGGAGGAAGGGCAGUAAAUUAAUACUUUGCUGUUUUGACGUUACCGACAGAAUAAGCACCGGCUAACUUCGUGCCAGCAGCCGCGGUAAUACGAAGGGUGCAAGCGUUAAUCGGAAUUACUGGGCGUAAAGCGCGCGUAGGUGGUUUUGUAAGUUGGAGGUGAAAUCCCCGGGCUCAACCUGGGAACUGCCUCCAAAACUGCAUGACUAGAGUACGGUAGAGGGUAGUGGAAUUUCCUGUGUAGCGGUGAAAUGCGUAGAUAUAGGAAGGAACACCAGUGGCGAAGGCGACUACCUGGACUGAUACUGACACUGAGGUGCGAAAGCGUGGGGAGCAAACAGGAUUAGAAACCCGGGUAGUCC
This 450-nucleotide ribosomal RNA is filed under the name uncultured bacterium. RNAcentral describes it as "partial 16S ribosomal RNA". It matches the Rfam family "Bacterial small subunit ribosomal RNA", at positions 354 to 796 of the family's 1533-position model. The record is from RNAcentral.